GUCUACGGCCAUACCUAGGCGAAAACACCAGUUCCCGUCCGAUCACUGCAGUUAAGCGUCUGAGGGCCUCGUUAGUACUAUGCUUGGAGACAACAUGGGAAUCCGGGGUGCUGUAGGCU
This 119-nucleotide ribosomal RNA is filed under the name Schizosaccharomyces pombe (fission yeast). The record is from RNAcentral. Lineage: Eukaryota; Fungi; Ascomycota; Schizosaccharomycetes; Schizosaccharomycetales; Schizosaccharomycetaceae.